This 501-nucleotide ribosomal RNA is filed under the name uncultured bacterium. RNAcentral's name for it is "partial 16S ribosomal RNA". It matches the Rfam family "Bacterial small subunit ribosomal RNA", at positions 29 to 523 of the family's 1533-position model. The record is from RNAcentral.
AUUGAACGCUGGCGGCAUGCCUUACACAUGCAAGUCGAACGGCAGCACGGGUGCUUGCACCUGGUGGCGAGUGGCGAACGGGUGAGUAAUACAUCGGAACGUACCUUAUCGUGGGGGAUAACGCAGCGAAAGCUGUGCUAAUACCGCACACGCCCUGAGGGGGAAAGCGGGGGAUCGAAAGACCUCGCGCGAUUAGAGCGGCCGAUGCCUGAUUAGCUUGUUGGUGGGGUAAAAGCCCACCAAGGCGAAGAGCAGUAGCUGGUCUGAGAGGACGAUCAGCCAGACUGGGACUGAGACACGGCCCAGACUCCUCCGGGAGGCAGCAGUGGGGAAUUUUGGACAAUGGGGGCAACCCUGAUCCAGCAAGGCCGCGUGAGUGAAGAAGGCCUUCGGGUUGUAAAGCUCUUUUGUCAGGGAAGAAACACCGGCUCUAACACAGUCCGGGAAUGACGGUACCUGAAGAAUAAGCACCGGCUAACUACAUGCCAGCCGCCGCAGUAA